This 1408-nucleotide ribosomal RNA is filed under the name Acinetobacter baumannii. Its description in RNAcentral is "bacterial SSU rRNA". It matches the Rfam family "Bacterial small subunit ribosomal RNA". The record is from RNAcentral. Lineage: Bacteria; Pseudomonadati; Pseudomonadota; Gammaproteobacteria; Moraxellales; Moraxellaceae.
UGCAGUCGAGCGGGGGAAGGUAGCUUGCUACCGGACCUAGCGGCGGACGGGUGAGUAAUGCUUAGGAAUCUGCCUAUUAGUGGGGGACAACAUUCUCGAAAGGGAUGCUAAUACCGCAUACGUCCUACGGGAGAAAGCAGGGGAUCUUCUGGACCUUGCGCUAAUAGAUGAGCCUAAGUCGGAUUAGCUAGUUGGUGGGGUAAAGGCCUACCAAGGCGACGAUCUGUAGCGGGUCUGAGAGGAUGAUCCGCCACACUGGGACUGAGACACGGCCCAGACUCCUACGGGAGGCAGCAGUGGGGAAUAUUGGACAAUGGGGGGAACCCUGAUCCAGCCAUGCCGCGUGUGUGAAGAAGGCCUUAUGGUUGUAAAGCACUUUAAGCGAGGAGGAGGCUACUCUAGUUAAUACCUAGGGAUAGUGGACGUUACUCGCAGAAUAAGCACCGGCUAACUCUGUGCCAGCAGCCGCGGUAAUACAGAGGGUGCGAGCGUUAAUCGGAUUUACUGGGCGUAAAGCGUGCGUAGGCGGCUUAUUAAGUCGGAUGUGAAAUCCCCGAGCUUAACUUGGGAAUUGCAUUCGAUACUGGUGAGCUAGAGUAUGGGAGAGGAUGGUAGAAUUCCAGGUGUAGCGGUGAAAUGCGUAGAGAUCUGGAGGAAUACCGAUGGCGAAGGCAGCCAUCUGGCCUAAUACUGACGCUGAGGUACGAAAGCAUGGGGAGCAAACAGGAUUAGAUACCCUGGUAGUCCAUGCCGUAAACGAUGUCUACUAGCCGUUGGGGCCUUUGAGGCUUUAGUGGCGCAGCUAACGCGAUAAGUAGACCGCCUGGGGAGUACGGUCGCAAGACUAAAACUCAAAUGAAUUGACGGGGGCCCGCACAAGCGGUGGAGCAUGUGGUUUAAUUCGAUGCAACGCGAAGAACCUUACCUGGCCUUGACAUACUAGAAACUUUCCAGAGAUGGAUUGGUGCCUUCGGGAAUCUAGAUACAGGUGCUGCAUGGCUGUCGUCAGCUCGUGUCGUGAGAUGUUGGGUUAAGUCCCGCAACGAGCGCAACCCUUUUCCUUACUUGCCAGCAUUUCGGAUGGGAACUUUAAGGAUACUGCCAGUGACAAACUGGAGGAAGGCGGGGACGACGUCAAGUCAUCAUGGGCCCUUACGGCCAGGGCUACACACGUGCUACAAUGGUCGGUACAAAGGGUUGCUACACAGCGAUGUUGAUGCUAAUCUCAAAAAGCCGAUCGUAGUCCGGGAUUGGAGUCUGCAACUCGACUCCAUGAAGUCGGAAUCGCUAGUAAUUACGCGAGAUCAGAAUGCCGCGGUGAAUACGUUCCCGGGCCUUGUACACACCGCCCGUCACACCAUGGGAGUUUGUUGCACCAGAAGUAGCUAGCCUAACUGCAAAGAGGGCG